ACGCCGCUAAGAAGACCCAGACUUGUAAUAUUAAGUCUCCAGUUGAUGUUUGAGAAGUGGAUCUGACGACUUUUUCAUUAUUAAUUCAAUCUCAUGAAAUAUUUAUAAUUUAAUAUCAACUUUUAAUUUAGGAGAAUAAGAUUCCCGGUUGAAAAAUCGUCGUUUAU
Long non-coding RNA from Neodiprion virginianus, 167 nucleotides. RefSeq lists it as uncharacterized. The transcript has 3 exons. NCBI's taxonomy places the organism in Eukaryota, Metazoa, Arthropoda, Insecta, Hymenoptera, Diprionidae. The record is from RefSeq and is a predicted model, not a curated record.